Regulatory RNA element from Nonomuraea sp., 65 nucleotides. It matches the Rfam family "Actino-pnp RNA". The record is from Rfam. NCBI's taxonomy places the organism in Bacteria, Bacillati, Actinomycetota, Actinomycetes, Streptosporangiales, Streptosporangiaceae.
GCCGGUCCUCGGUAGUGGCUUCCGGUAAGAACGCACUUGACCGGGCGCUUCGAUCGAAGACCGGC